RNAcentral lists this long non-coding RNA (3887 nucleotides) under Homo sapiens (human). RNAcentral describes it as "non-protein coding lnc-LRRC32-7:1". The record is from RNAcentral. Lineage: Eukaryota; Metazoa; Chordata; Mammalia; Primates; Hominidae.
UUCCUCAGCUCCUCCCACUGACUCAUUUCCCUUAGGGCUACAAGAGCAGAGCUGAAAUUCCUGGUGGGAUAUGAGGGAUUUGGGAACCCUGGAAGUCGUUCCUGGGCAGUGAGGUGUGUGGAUGAAUACACGCAGGCUCCUCUGUGUGUGUGUGCGUGCUGGGGAGGCUUGGCACUGAGAUGCCUCCUAUGUCUCCCUCCCACCUCCUUCUCCUGAAAGGGGGAUGGAUGUCGUGUGUCCCUGCAGUGUCCAGGCAGGACUAGUCAUAUCAGCAGAUAUCGGGGGAGGGGUGGAGGCUGCAGUGAGCGGAGAUCGCGCCACUGUACUCCAGCCUGUGUGACAGAACAAGACCCUGAGUUAAAAAAAAAAGAAAGAAUAUUAUGUAUUCUUGAAAUUAUAUAGAUUUUAUAGUAUGGAUAUACUAUGGUUUCUAUACCUUUCACCUGUUGGAGAGCAUCAGAGUUGUUUCCCCUUUUUGACUAUUACAGAUGAUUAUUAUGAAGGAGGCAGAGAACCUAAGGCCGAUCCACGCUGGACUUCCUAGAACUAAAUCAAAUGGAAACACUUCAGCUACGACAGGAAAUAUCCUCUUCAUUUACAUAGGGCAUACACCAAGUAACCAAUGGAAACCUCUAGAGUAUAUUUCAACCCAGAAUACUCUGUAAUGGGGCUCUUGAGCCCCUAUGCUCGACGCCCCUAUGGGGUAUACUUUCAUUUUCAAUAAAUCUCUGUGUUUGUUGCUUCAUUCUUUCCUUGCUUUGUUUGUGUGUUUUGUCCAAUUCUUUGUUCAAGACGCCAAGAACCUGGACACCUUUAACUGGUAACAUAUCUUAGUGAACCAGCCAGGAGGUAAGCCCAAAGUUUGGGAUUUAUUUUUCUCCUUUCCCCUUUCUUUUCUGCUCUAUACAAGUGAGUCUCUCUCUUUCUCUCUCUCUCUCUCUCUCUCUCUCUCUCUCUCUCUCUCUCUUUUCCUUUCCAACUUGGGACACUUGGUGGGCAGCGCCUAAACACAGAGGCAACUGCAGGCUUCUGGCCAGGGCCACUCUGAAGGACAAUUUUUUAUCUUUUCCAGUUGUGGUCCCUGAUCCCUACAUUUGGUGCAGCUCGGGCAAACUCACAUGAGUUUCAGCAAUGUGUUUGUCUGCAUACAGUUAAGCAGGGCCACUAGGGCCACUCAGGGAGAAAGAACUCAGAAGCCUGACAUGCCAGCAAAAAGGUAAGAAUUUCUUACCAGUCAGACUCUGGUCUCUGUCUCUCUCUGCAAACUGGUUAAAUAAAUGGUAAAAGUCACUGUUUAUCUCCUCUGCAAAGUUUUGAUUAAUACAGAAAAAGAAUUCUGAGGCUGGUCUUAAACUGUAGUGAAUCCGGAGUGCUUUAUGUGACUUUCUAUACUGUUCUGUUAUAAAGAGGGGCACCUUAGGAUAAAAUGCAUGCCUGGGAACCUAUAGGCUCGCUAUUCAAGGCUGCCCAGCAAACUGGUCAGUCAUGUCCUUGGGAGCUUGACCUUGUAACCAUGUGGCCAUGCUUUCUCUUUUCACAAUGGCGGCCCAGGUUUAGGUUUCAAUUCCUGGCUUAGGGAAUGAGUCCUUUAUCUUCUGCCUGUCUGUGUAUUUAUAUGUGUUGUGUGUGUAAUGUAAAAGAGCUUUAAUUGAUUGGUUUAAUAAUAAUAAGAGUGUUGUGGGAAGUCAGGGACCCUGAACGGAGGGACCAGCUGGAGCUGUGGCAGAGGAACAUAAAUUGUGAAGAUUUCAUGGACAUGUAUCACUUCCCUAAUAAUACUCUUAUAAUUUCUUACACUUGUCUUACUUUAAUCUCUUAAUCCUGUUAUCUUCGUAAGCUGAGGAUGUACAUCACCUCAGGUCCACUGUGAUGAUUGCAUUAACUGUACAAAUUGAUUGUAAAACAUGUGUGUUUGAACAAUAUGAAAUUAGUGCACCUUGAAAACGAACAGAAUAACAGUGAUUUUAGGAAACAAGGGAAGAAAACCAUAACGUCUGACUGCCUGCGGGGUCGGGCAAAAAGAGCCAUAUUUUUCUUCUUGCAGAGAGUCCUAUAAAUGGACGUGCAAGUAGGUGAGAUAUCGCUAAAUUCUUUUCCUAGCAAGGAAGAUUGAUACUAAUACUCCAGGAAGAGAAUUACAUUCCUGGGGGGAGGUCUAUAAACGGCCACUCUGGGAGUGUCUGUCUUAUAUGGUUGAGUAAGGACUGAAAUAUGCCUUGGUCUCCUGCAGUACCCUCAGGCUUAUUAGGGUUGGGAAAAAACCCCACCCUGGUAAAUUUGAGGUCAGACCAGUUCUCUGCUGUCAAACUCUGUUUUCUGUUGUUUAAGAUGUUUAUCAAGACAAUACGUGCACAGCCGAACAUAGACCCUUAUCAGGAGUUCCUGAUUUUGUCCUUGCUCUGUUUCCUCAGAAGCAUGUGAUCUUUGUUCUCCUUUGUGCCCUUUGAAGCAUGUGAUUUUUGUGACCUACUCCCUGUUCUUACACCCCCUCCCCUUUUGAAAUCCCUAAUAAAAACUUGCUGGUUUUGCGGCUCAGGUGGGCAUCAUGGUCCUACAGAUAUGUGAUUCACCCCCAGCGGCCCAGCUGUAAAAUUCCUCUCUUUGUACUCUUUCUCUUUAUUUCUCAGACCAGCCAACACUUAGGGAAAAUAGAAAGAACCUACAUUGAAAUACUGGGGGCGGGUUCCCCUGAUAUAAGAGCUUAAAUAUUUUGUCAGAAAAGUAGAAAGUGUAAUGCCUUUUUAAAAAUUUUAUUUUAUUUUUGAGAUGGAGUCUCUCUCUGUCGCCAGGCUGGAGUGCAGUGGCAUGAUCCCGGUCACUGCAACCUCUCUCUGCCUCCCAGGUUCAAGUGAUUCUCCUGUCUCAGCCUCUUGAGUAGCUGGGACUACAGGCAUGAGCCACCACGCCUGGCUAAUUUUGUAUUUUUAGUAGAGAUGAGCUUUCACCAUAUUGGUCAGGCUGGUCUUGAACUCCUGACCUCAGUUUUUGUAUUUUUAGUAGAGAUGGGGUUUCACCAUGUUGGCCAGGCUGGUCUCGAACUCCUGGCCUCAAGUGACUGGCCCACCUCAGCCUCCCAAAGUGUAGGGAUUACAGGCAUGAGCCACUGCACCCUGCCUCAAUUGUUAUUUUCAAUGCAUGUUUUCUGGUUGUAUAAAAGCUUUCCGAUGCAAGAGGGCUGAUGUUAUAACAGUAGAUUAUUAUGCUAUGGUAUAUUUUCACCAGGUAAAGAAAGCUUUUUAUGGUUUGGAUCUUCUGAGAACAUCAGAGAAAGACUGUCCUUGCCAUCCACACUACAGCAAAAUUUUGGGACCUUGAACUUUGGGUUUAUAAUCUCACAACUGAGAAGGGUCCCUCCACAUUCUUGGAACUGUAUAUCCAUUGGAAUCCUUAAGAGACCAUCAAGCUUCAGAUGAUCAUGCAACAUGGGUUCCAGCCAGUUCCAAGUGAAGAGACCACCCCCGGCCAUCAAGGAACUAUCCUCCCUCCACUAAACAGAGCAGGGCUAGCGUUCCAUGAUCCCCAAUAGGUAGGGACUAUGCCCUAAGCCAGCAUAAAGUAGUUAAAGAAGAAAGACCAUCCGUUCCUCUGCCUUCUAUAAAGAUUUAUGGGGUCACAUCUCUCAGGGGAGAAAUAAGGCAGGAGAAUAUGGUCUGGAGGCAGGGAACCUAAGGCCAAUUCAUGCUGGACUUCCUAGAAGUGAAUCAAAUGGAAACACUUCAGCUAUGACAGGGAAUAUCCUCUCCAUUUACAUAGGGCAUACACCGAGUAUCCAAUGGAAACCUCUAGAGGGUAUUUAGACCCCAGGAAAUUCUGUAAUGGGGCUCUUCAACCCCUAUGCUUGGGCCACUCCCACCCUGUGUGGUGUGUACUUUUGUUUUCAAUAAAUC